RNA transcript from Capsicum annuum, 2626 nucleotides. It is a transcript of the gene named ruBisCO large subunit-binding protein subunit beta, chloroplastic, with no coding region annotated. The transcript has 16 exons. The record is from RefSeq and is a predicted model, not a curated record. NCBI's taxonomy places the organism in Eukaryota, Viridiplantae, Streptophyta, Magnoliopsida, Solanales, Solanaceae.
UGGAAGUUCAAAACAGGAGAACCAAAUUGCAGUUUUGCCAAAGUAUAAAGGGCGUUGAGUAAAUAAAUCUAUAGCAAUGUGAACAACUUCUAGACUAUUCCAAAGCAGGAAAAACAAAAGGCAGUUGAACGGCUGAGAUGAAGUAGAAGCUUCAAGAAGAAACAAUGACCGUCUAUUCAAACCCUUUUGAGUUUUGGUUUCAUUAUAUAACCUAAGCGUCUCUUCAUCACUCUAGCAGUUUCCCUUUUCCAACGAAGAAGAUAAACUCACUCCACCUACUUCUUCAACUGGGAUACAUGGCGUCUACUUUUGCUGGUAUGUCCUCAGCAGGUCCUUUGGCUGCUCCCGGCACUUCUUCAAACAAGCUUUCCUCUUUUGCUAAUAUAUCUUCUGUAUCUUUCGGGAGAAAAAGAAAUGUUGUACUUAGACAGAGUCGUGCUCCAAAAAUUACAGCUGCAGCUAAAGAGUUGUAUUUCAAUAAGGAUGGGUCAGCUAUCAAGAAGCUGCAGAAUGGUGUGAACAAACUUGCUGAUCUAGUUGGAGUUACUCUUGGCCCGAAAGGAAGGAAUGUUGUCCUGGAGAGCAAAUAUGGCGCUCCAAAAAUUGUUAAUGAUGGAGUUACGGUGGCCAGGGAGGUUGAAUUAGAGGAUCCAGUAGAAAACAUUGGUGCAAAACUAGUGAGACAAGCUGCUGCCAAAACCAAUGACCUGGCUGGGGAUGGGACUACAACAUCUGUCGUGCUAGCCCAGGGCCUUAUUGCUGAAGGUGUUAAGGUGGUUGCAGCUGGUGCAAACCCUGUCCUGAUCACCAGAGGAAUUGAGAAGACCGCAAAAGCAUUAGUAGAUGAGUUGAAGAAUAUGUCAAAAGAGGUGGAAGACAGUGAACUAGCAGAUGUGGCUGCAGUAAGUGCUGGGAACAACUAUGAAGUAGGGAGUAUGAUUGCUGAAGCCAUGAGCAAGGUUGGAAGGAAAGGUGUUGUGACGCUAGAAGAGGGAAAAAGUGCUGAAAACAGCCUCCGGGUGGUUGAAGGAAUGCAAUUUGACCGUGGUUAUAUCUCUCCUUACUUUGUAACUGACAGUGAGAAAAUGGCUGUUGAAUAUGAAAACUGUAAGUUACUACUUGUUGAUAAAAAGAUAACAAAUGCAAGAGAUCUUGUUAAUGUCCUGGAGGAUGCUAUCAGAAAUGGUUAUCCAAUUUUAAUUAUUGCUGAAGAUAUAGAGCAAGAAGCUCUGGCAACACUUGUAGUCAAUAAGCUUAGAGGUGCCUUAAAGGUUGUUGCACUAAAAGCUCCUGGUUUUGGUGAGCGCAAAAGCCAAUAUCUUGAUGACAUCGCAACCCUUACUGGAGGCACCGUGAUUAGGGAGGAAGUUGGCCUUACCUUGGACAAGGCUGACAAGGAAGUUCUAGGCCAUGCUGCUAAAGUAGUGCUGACUAAGGAUGCCACUACAAUUGUUGGUGAUGGUAGCACUCAGGAAGCAGUCAAUAAGCGUGUUGCACAGAUUAAAAACCUGAUAGAGGCUGCAGAGCAAGAUUAUGAAAAGGAAAAGCUAAAUGAAAGGAUUGCAAAAUUAUCUGGAGGUGUGGCUGUCAUACAGGUUGGAGCACAAACUGAAACUGAGUUGAAAGAGAAAAAACUUAGAGUGGAAGAUGCUCUCAAUGCAACAAAGGCCGCUGUCGAGGAAGGUAUUGUUGUUGGAGGAGGGUGCGCACUCCUCAGACUUGCUGCGAAAGUUGAUGCCAUCAAGGAAACCCUUGUAAAUGAUGAGGAGAAGGUUGGAGCUGAUAUUGUCAAAAGAGCAUUGAGCUACCCUUUGAAAUUGAUUGCUAAAAAUGCUGGCGUUAAUGGAAGUGUUGUCAGUGAGAAGGUGCUCUCAAGUGACGAUCAAAAAUUUGGAUAUAAUGCAGCAACUGGCAACUAUGAAGACUUAAUGGCUGCUGGCAUCAUUGAUCCAACAAAGGUGGUGAGAUGUUGUCUAGAGCACUCAGCAUCUGUGGCCAAGACAUUCUUGAUGUCAGAUUGCGUGGUGGUUGAGAUCAAGGAGCCUGAGCCAGCGGUUGUUGGCAACCCAAUGGACAACUCAGGGUACGGUUACUAGGUGAAUGAAUGAAGGCUACUGAUACCGGAUGAUAGUGAUAGAAGAUUAAUGCUUGGAAGCCUUAAUUUUUUGUUGAAGUUUAGCAUUAGGAUGUAAAAUUAAUAUUAGAGGAGGCAAGCUGGUGCAAAUGCGGAUCCAACGGGAAAAAGAAUAGGAUAAAUUUUAAACACGGAAAUGUCGUUGGUUUAUAAAAUUUUUCUUUUACAAGAAAAUUGGCCCUCAUACCAGCUAGUGUGUCUUAUGCUUUUGUUAUGAUAACUUCAGCUUCUACAAAAUAUAGAUGAUCGGAGGACUUGGCUCUGUAUCUAAUUAUUACCCUAUCCUACUUGAAAAUUAAAAACUUGUUUUACAUGUUUUUUUUCAAAGAAUUUCUCUGGAAUAAAGGGUUGGGACAUUUGGUUAGGGGUGGACAUGGGUAUGAUAUGGUACGAUUUUUGAAAUUUUGAUAUGGUAAUUUCGGUCUUCAAUUUGUAAAAGCAUUAUAUACCAUUGUCAUAUCAUAUUAAUUCAAUAUGGUUUGGUAUUUUGAC